This 74-nucleotide transfer RNA is filed under the name Stegodyphus mimosarum. It matches the Rfam family "tRNA". Rfam says of the family: Transfer RNA (tRNA) molecules are approximately 80 nucleotides in length. Their secondary structure includes four short double-helical elements and three loops (D, anti-codon, and T loops). The record is from Rfam by way of RNAcentral. Lineage: Eukaryota; Metazoa; Arthropoda; Arachnida; Araneae; Eresidae.
GCCUUCGUGGUGUAGUGGUCAACACGCUCGACGCCUAUUCCAGAGGUCCAAUGGUUCGAUUCUCGGUGAGGGCG